GGGGAAUUUGGACACUGGGCGAAAGCCUGAUCCAGCCAUGCCGCGUGUGUGAAGAAGGUCUUCGGAUUGUAAAGCACUUUAAGUUGGGAGGAAGGGUUGUAAACUUAAUACUUGCAAUUUUGACGUUACCGACAGAAUAAGCACCGGCUAACUCUG
Molecule: ribosomal RNA, 156 nt
Filed under: uncultured bacterium
Lineage: Bacteria
Description: partial 16S rRNA
Rfam family: Bacterial small subunit ribosomal RNA
Source: RNAcentral